Molecule: ribosomal RNA, 465 nt
Filed under: Vreelandella stevensii
Lineage: Bacteria; Pseudomonadati; Pseudomonadota; Gammaproteobacteria; Oceanospirillales; Halomonadaceae
Description: partial 16S ribosomal RNA
Rfam family: Bacterial small subunit ribosomal RNA
Source: RNAcentral
CCUACGGGAGGCUGCAGUGGGGAAUAUUGGACAAUGGGGGCAACCCUGAUCCAGCCAUGCCGCGUGUGUGAACAAGGCCCUCGGGUUGUAAAGCACUUUCAGUGAGGAAGAACGCCUGGUGGUUAAUACCCAUCAGGAAAGACAUCACUCACAGAAGAAGCACCGGUUAACUCCGUGCCAGCAGCCGCGGUAAUACGGAGGGUGCGAGCGUUAAUCGGAAUUACUGGGCGUAAAGCGCGCGUAGGUGGCUUGAUAAGCCGGUUGUGAAAGCCCCGGGCUCAACCUGGGAACGGCAUCCGGAACUGUCAAGCUAGAGUGCAGGAGAGGAAGGUAGAAUUCCCGGUGUAGCGGUGAAAUGCGUAGAGAUCGGGAGGAAUACCAGUGGCGAAGGCGGCCUUCUGGACUGACACUGACACUGAGGUGCGAAAGCGUGGGUAGCAAACAGGAUUAGAUACCCGGGUAGUC